CAGAAUGUGUUUUGACUCAGUUUAAUGUCUUUUUCAGGCUGAUGAUCUUUCUUCUACAUUUCCUCGCUGAUCACCUGAGGCUUGCCCCACAGCCAUGGGGAAUCAGAUGAGGGCAAUGCUGAUCUAUCUGAAGUACAAAGACACCUUCCUCUUGACCACUGUCCUUGGGUUGGGGCGGAUGCAAGGUAGGAGGAGCAGAGGGCUGAGCCAGGACAUCGUCCACCAGAGAAGUCCGGCUGGCUCCUAACCUGUCAUUUCUGAGAAUCUGCCACCUGACUUAUUUGGAUGCCUUCAUGGAGUACUUUAGCCAG
Molecule: long non-coding RNA, 311 nt
Filed under: Apteryx owenii (little spotted kiwi)
Lineage: Eukaryota; Metazoa; Chordata; Aves; Apterygiformes; Apterygidae
Description: lncRNA (ENSAOWG00000009349.1)
Source: RNAcentral